ACGGGAGGCAGCAGUGGGGGAUAUUGCACAAUGGGGGAAACCCUGAUGCAGCAACGCCGCGUGAGGGAAGAAGGUUUUCGGAUUGUAAACCUCUGUCCUUAGUGAAGAAAGAUGACGGUAGCUAAGGAGGAAGCUCCGGCUAACUACGUGCCAGCAGCCGCGGUAAUACGUAGGGAGCGAGCGUUGUCCGGAAUUACUGGGUGUAAAGGGUGCGUAGGCGGCGAGGCAAGUCAGCAGUGAAAUCCAUGGGCUUAACCCAUGACGUGCUGUUGAAACUGUCUUGCUUGAGUGAAGUAGAGGUAGGCGGAAUUCCCGGUGUAGCGGUGAAAUGCGUAGAGAUCGGGAGGAACACCAGUGGCGAAGGCGGCCUACUGGGCUUUAACUGACGCUGAGGCACGAAAGCAUGGGUAGCAAACAGGAUUAGAUACCCUGGUA
This 435-nucleotide ribosomal RNA is filed under the name uncultured Oscillospiraceae bacterium. RNAcentral's name for it is "bacterial SSU rRNA". It matches the Rfam family "Bacterial small subunit ribosomal RNA", at positions 341 to 792 of the family's 1533-position model. The record is from RNAcentral. Lineage: Bacteria; Bacillati; Bacillota; Clostridia; Eubacteriales; Oscillospiraceae.